GGAAACCGGAGCUAAUGCCGGAUAAUAUUUUGAACCGCAUGGUUCAAAAGUGAAAGACGGUCUUGCUGUCACUUAUAGAUGGAUCCGCGCUGCAUUAGCUAGUUGGUAAGGUAACGGCUUACCAAGGCAACGAUGCAUAGCCGACCUGAGAGGGUGAUCGGCCACACUGGAACUGAGACACGGUCCAG
Molecule: ribosomal RNA, 188 nt
Filed under: uncultured Staphylococcus sp.
Lineage: Bacteria; Bacillati; Bacillota; Bacilli; Caryophanales; Staphylococcaceae
Description: partial 16S ribosomal RNA
Rfam family: Bacterial small subunit ribosomal RNA
Source: RNAcentral